RNAcentral lists this long non-coding RNA (2980 nucleotides) under Phoenix dactylifera (date palm). Its description in RNAcentral is "long non-coding RNA (PDAC_LNC009599)". The record is from RNAcentral. Lineage: Eukaryota; Viridiplantae; Streptophyta; Magnoliopsida; Arecales; Arecaceae.
ACUUAUCAUUAUUUUAAUUCAAAUAUUUUGUAAAUUCAAUUAAAAAGUUGUGUUACCUUCAUCAUUGCAUUUUAAAGGUAAUUCGAGUUUUACUUAUUUACUGAUUGAGCUUAAUGUAUGCAGGUCAAGUCAUGCUUAAUUAGGUAAAACCUAAACUACACUGCAUCAUUUCACAAUUGUACAUCCUCCAGAGUCGACUCCAAGAACUCUUCUCCAAAAUUCAGUGCUUCCCAUUAAUUCCUGACUCUUCCCACCUUCACCUAAAUUUCUUCCCACUCGUUCCAACUCUUUUUUCAUAUGAUCCAAUUCUCCUAUUUUAAUCUCAAAAAUAAUAAAAUCCCUUCAAUUAUUUGUCUCUCAGAUCUCGAAGCAUACCAUCAUAUUUGCACGAAUCCCAAAGCUCCAUCCACUCCUCAUAUCUUGUUCAACUAAAAUUCCACACUCCAACCAUGUUCCCAGCCAAACCACAUUAAAAUCUUCGGAACAACAUCUUCCCAGCUCCCCUGCAUUCACGGCAUCCAAGUUUCAUCCGAUCCCUCUCCACAGCAGUUUCUCUUCCCUACCACAACUGCAACCGCAAGCUAACUCAGCCAUUCAUCUCACAACCACGUCAUCCUUCCCAGCAAAACAACAUCAUCUCCAGCGUCCACAUCGUCUGCAGUCCAAGGAUUUCCUCCCAACCGGAUGAGCACCCAAGCUUAUUCCCCAUUCCGUGGAUUGCGUUCCCAAGCCUCCUGGAUUGACCCCACCGUUCACAGUUCCAAAUCCGGCAUCUCCUCUCAGCCGAGAACACUAUCCCACGUCAUCCAUAUCAUCCCAGAUUUUAUCCAAACUCUCUCCCAGCCGAAUCAAGCUAUCCAUCAUCCACGGAUUCUCUCGUCUUCAUCCCAUCAUCCGCAUCACCCUCAUUUGCUUCCUCAUCUUUGAAUUAACUCCCCUGUUUCACGCAUCCAGCUUCUCCUCCACGUUCCGGAUUAGAUCACAUCUCCCAGCUUGCGAUCAUCCUUAUCCCAGCAGCUUCUUCUCUCCCACUGCAUCCACGUCACCAGGUAUCCGUUCCUUGUUAUCAGCCGAGAUCCCAACAUCCUAGCUUGCAUUCUUAUCCUGUUUGUAAUUAAUCAUCCUUAUCCCAGCAAAUCCAAACAUCCCUGCUUCAAGAUCAGUUCGAAUCCCAUCUUCUCCGAAUCCCCUACCUCCUCAUCCCAACUCUAUCCUCUCGGAACAAAUCUCAUCCCAUUCGCAACCAGCCAAAUCCCAGCAAACCUCAGGAUCUCAUCCAAUUCCUCCCAACGGCUUUAUUCUCAUGCGAUUCAUCAUCCCCUGUUCACAGCCGGAUGAACAUCCGCAACAAUCUCAUGCCCAUCUCCCAGAUCUCCAGCCAACGGCAGCACAACCAAACUACCAGCAUCCGGAUCAGAGCCAACAACGAAUUCAUCGCAUCCAAGGAUCAAGGAACAGAGCCGGGAUCUUCUCAACGUCCGCAUCAUCCCCUGCAUCCAAAGCCAAAGCCAGCCUUGUCAACGCGAUCGUCUCCCAGUCCACAUCCUUCCCAACGUCCGAAUCGGCUCAAAUCUUCCGCACCGCGUCCCAGCCGCGUCCAAGAAUCCUUCCACGUGUUGAAGAAGCCUGGCUCCUUCGUUUCAUUCCCUGGAUUCGCAUCAACAGCUCACCUUCUUUCCAACUCCCGGAUCAGCUCUAUCUUCAUCGCACGUCCGCCGCUUCUCCGUCGUUAUCUUCCCACUAGGAAGAUCUUAUCCAUGUGAGGGAAGUAGGGCGCUGGGGAAGCUAUAAAAGGAGGAAAGUUCUCUUCACGGCAUCAUCUCUUCGCUGGAGAAGCUUGGGUUCCCAGACCAAGUUUCCACAAAAAUAAGUGGGAGAGAUAGUAGUUUGGGUAUUUUGGGAAUGAUUUUUCAAAGAAAAAAUAAUGAAGUUCAAGAGGGAGAGGAAGCCGACGGGAGAAAAAAAGGAGAACCCAGUCAUGAUGAAGGCCUUCUACAUCGCUGUUGCUGUCGCCCACGACUCCAUGGAAGGCUGAUCUCCUCACUAGGGCUGGAUGCAGCCCUAACAAAGGGCUAAGGGUUUUAUAUUUUAAUUUUCUAUUCCUGGAGUUGUAUAAACUUUAUUUUGCUCCCAAUGAAUAUUUUAUUUCAUCUCAUAUUUAAUUUCUAUGAUUUUAAGUAUGAUGCUUAUGCAAGUAUUCUUCAUUAUCACAAAGUAAAUAUAAGAUAAUCCAUGCAUAAGGAAGAUGUGGUGUGCUACCACCUUAGAUUAGGAUAGAUAUUUCAUACCAACUGAAAAUGGAUUAUUCCCAAAUUGCUUUUAUGAAUUUCUAUUUAAAUGCUUAUUAGGCUUGUAGCCAAUUUGCAUGUUAAUCCAAAAAUAAAUUAAAAUACAAUUAAUCCUUGUUCCGAUGUUAGUGGUGUAUUCCUUGCCCUAGGUCCCCUCACACUGAUAUCACUUCAAUUGCAUUUUCAUUAAAUUUCUUAGUUUAAUUUUCUUUAUAAAUUUUCCUUUUUAAAUAUUUUUUUUAGAAAACAACUAUACCCCAAUCUCUGUGAAUCGAUACCCGUAAUCACUAUUCUACUAGAUACGUGCUAUUGCGUGGUCUUUAAAAUUGACUAUCAAGAGGAAGGAUGUGAACUUCCUUCUUUGGGCCAAGAGGGGGAUGCGAUGCAGGGGCCUCCCGUGAUCGCAUAGAAUGGGGGGCGCGUGAAGAAUGCGGACUGCUGGGAGGAGCGGACGUGGGAGAUGCUUUGAUUGCAUUGAUGGCGUGGAGGAUUUGGAAGGGAUGCCACGGCUGCAGGUUUGGACGGUUGAUGGUCUAGUGAUGUUUUAUUGGAUGCAUGUUCGGAUGAGACGUGGACAGUUGGGAUUUCAUGCAUGCAUGGCAAUUGGAGAAUUUGUUGAGCUCGGGCUGUCGGGCAUUGGGCUCAAACCCAAUAUUAUUGGGUCUCUUGGAUUCCUUGCACUCAAACACAAA